RNAcentral lists this ribosomal RNA (482 nucleotides) under uncultured Propionibacterium sp. RNAcentral's name for it is "bacterial SSU rRNA". It matches the Rfam family "Bacterial small subunit ribosomal RNA", at positions 8 to 499 of the family's 1533-position model. Lineage: Bacteria; Bacillati; Actinomycetota; Actinomycetes; Propionibacteriales; Propionibacteriaceae. The record is from RNAcentral.
AGAGUUUUUGUAUAUGGCUCAGGACGAACGCUGGCGGCGUGCUUAACACAUGCAAGUCGAACGGAAAGGCCCUGCUUUUGUGGGGUGCUCGAGUGGCGAACGGGUGAGUAACACGUGAGUAACCUGCCCUUGACUUUGGGAUAACUUCAGGAAACUGGGGCUAAUACCGGAUAGGAGCUCCUGCUGCAUGGUGGGGGUUGGAAAGUUUCGGCGGUUGGGGAUGGACUCGCGGCUUAUCAGCUUGUUGGUGGGGUAGUGGCUUACCAAGGCUUUGACGGGUAGCCGGCCUGAGAGGGUGACCGGCCACAUUGGGACUGAGAUACGGCCCAGACUCCUACGGGAGGCAGCAGUGGGGAAUAUUGCACAAUGGGCGGAAGCCUGAUGCAGCAACGCCGCGUGCGGGAUGACGGCCUUCGGGUUGUAAACCGCUUUCGCCUGUGACGAAGCGUGAGUGACGGUAAUGGGUAAAGAAGCACCGGCUA